RNAcentral lists this ribosomal RNA (1425 nucleotides) under Lacticaseibacillus rhamnosus. RNAcentral's name for it is "bacterial SSU rRNA". It matches the Rfam family "Bacterial small subunit ribosomal RNA". Lineage: Bacteria; Bacillati; Bacillota; Bacilli; Lactobacillales; Lactobacillaceae. The record is from RNAcentral.
CAGCAUCGUCGUACUGCUAGCUACGUCGUACGUCGGAUCGAGUGCAAGUCGAACGAGUUCUGAUUAUUGAAAGGUGCUUGCAUCUUGAUUUAAUUUUGAACGAGUGGCGGACGGGUGAGUAACACGUGGGUAACCUGCCUUAAGUGGGGGAUAACAUUUGGAAACAGAUGCUAAUACCGCAUAAAUCCAAGAACCGCAUGGUUCUUGGCUGAAAGAUGGCGUAAGCUAUCGCUUUUGGAUGGACCCGCGGCGUAUUAGCUAGUUGCGACGGCUAGCUAUCGAUACCAAGGCAAUGAUACGUAGCCGAACUGAGAGGUUGAUCGGCCACAUUGGGACUGAGACACGGCCACUCCUACGGGAGGCAGCAGUAGGGAAUCUUCCACAAUGGACGCAAGUCUGAUGGAGCAACGCCGCGUGAGUGAAGAAGGCUUUCGGGUCGUAAAACUCUGUUGUUGGAGAAGAAUGGUCGGCAGAGUAACUGUUGUCGGCGUGACGGUAUCCAACCAGAAAGCCACGGCUAACUACGUGCCAGCAGGGUAAUACGUAGGUGGCAGCGUUAUCCGGAUUUAUUGGGCGUAAAGCGAGCGCAGGCGGUUUUUUAAGUCUGAUGUGAAAGCCCUCGGCUUAACCGAGAGUGCAUCGGAAACUGGGAAACUUGAGUGCAGAAGAGGACAGUGGAACUCCAUGUGUAGCGGUGAAAUGCGUAGAUAUAUGGAAGAACACCAGUGGCGAAGGCGGCGUCUGGUCUGUAACUGACGCUGAGGCUCGAAGCAUGGGUAGCGAACAGGAUUAGAUACCCUGGUAGUCCAUGCCGUAAACGAUGAAUGCUAGGUGUUGGAGGGUUUCCGCCCUUCAGUGCCGCAGCUAACGCAUUAAGCAUUCCGCCUGGGGAGUACGACCGCAAGGUUGAAACUCAAAGGAAUUGACGGGGGCCGCACAAGCGGUGGAGCAUGUGCACGUUGCUACGUAGCUAGCAGAGAACCUUACCAGGUCUUGACAUCUUUUGAUCACCUGAGAGAUCAGGUCCCUUCGGGGGCAAAAUGACAGGUGGUGCAUGGUUGUCGUCAGCUCGUGUCGUGAGAUGUUGGGUUAAGUCCCGCAACGAGCGCAACCCUUAUGACUAGUUGCCAGCAUUUAGUUGGGCACUCUAGUAAGACUGCCGGUGACAAACCGGAGGAAGGUGGGGAUGACGUCAAAUCAUCAUGCCCCUUAUGACCGAUCGUACGUCUACGUUGACAAUGGAUGGUACAACGAGUUGCGAGACCGCGGCUACUGAUCGUCGUGCAUCGAGCCAUUCUCAGUUCGGGCUACUGUCAGCUAGCUACUAACACGAAGUCGGAAUCGCUAGUAAUCGCGGAUCAGCACGCCGCGGUGAAUACGUUCCCGGGCUGUACACACCGCCCGUCACACCAUGAGAGUUUGUAA